GAUGAACGCUGGCGGCGUGCUUAACACAUGCCAGUCGAACGGAAAGGCUCCUGCUUGCAGGGGUACUCGAGUGGCGAACGGGUGAGUAACACGUGGGUGAUCUGCCCUGCACUUCGGGAUAAGCCUGGGAAACUGGGUCUAAUACCGGAUAGGACGAUGGUUUGGAUGCCAUUGUGGAAAGUUUUUCGGUGUGGGAUGAGCUCGCGGCCUAUCAGCUUGUUGGUGGGGUAAUGGCCUACCAAGGCGUCGACGGGUAGCCGGCCUGAGAGGGUGUACGGCCACAUUGGGACUGAGAUACGGCCCAGACUCCUACGGGAGGCAGCAGUGGGGAAUAUUGCACAAUGGGCGCAAGCCUGAUGCAGCGACGCCGCGUGGGGGAUGACGGCCUUCGGGUUGUAAACUCCUUUCGCUAGGGACGAAGCGCACGUGACGGUACCUGGAGAAGAAGCACCGGCUAACUACGUG
RNAcentral lists this ribosomal RNA (465 nucleotides) under uncultured bacterium. Its description in RNAcentral is "partial 16S ribosomal RNA". It matches the Rfam family "Bacterial small subunit ribosomal RNA", at positions 28 to 507 of the family's 1533-position model. The record is from RNAcentral.